GAUGAAGAACGUAGCGAAAUGCGAUAAGUAGUGUGAAUUGCAGAAUUCAGUGAAUCAUCGAAUCUUUGAACGCACAUUGCGCCCUUUGGUAUUCCAAAGGGCAUGCCUGUUCGAGCGUCAUUUGUACCCUCAAGCUUUGCUUGGUGUUGGGCGUCUUGUCUCUAGCUUUGCUGGAGACUCGCCUUAAAGUAAUUGGCAGCCGGCCUACUGGUUUCGGAGCGCAGCACAAGUCGCACUCUCUAUCAGCAAAGGUCUAGCAUCCAUUAAGCCUGUUUUUCAACUUUUGACCUCGGAUCAGGUAGGGAUACCCGCUGAACUUAAGCAUAUCAAUAAGCGGAGGA
This 341-nucleotide unclassified non-coding RNA is filed under the name soil metagenome. RNAcentral's name for it is "partial contains 5.8S ribosomal RNA, internal transcribed spacer 2, and large subunit ribosomal RNA". The stretch from base 1 to 120 matches the Rfam family "5.8S ribosomal RNA", at positions 35 to 154 of the family's 154-position model. The record is from RNAcentral.